Long non-coding RNA from Brassica rapa (field mustard), 3047 nucleotides. RefSeq lists it as uncharacterized. The record is from RefSeq and is a predicted model, not a curated record. Lineage: Eukaryota; Viridiplantae; Streptophyta; Magnoliopsida; Brassicales; Brassicaceae.
UCAAAAAAUUUAUGUCAUAUACAAAAAACCAUCAAUAAAAAAUAUAAUUCUCCAUCUACAACAAGAAAAAUGAAAAAUUAUAAACAUAUAAAUUUAAAUUAAGAAAAACUAACAUUGGAAAAACAAGAAGUUAAUAUAAAAGAAAAAAACCGAUAAAUAAUAUUAUAAAUAAGAUAAAUUUAUAAGACACAUUCGCGCAGAAAAAAUCUCUAGUUGUUUUAAAUAGUUUUGAUACCUAACAGAUAGGAGACUAAUCUCCUUAAGUAAUACACAGAAAUAGCAAACGACAAUAUAUUGUCGACAUAACAUACUAGCCUAAUAAUAGUGAACACUCUGAUAUCUUCUCUUGGUUACUUUAGCCACUUCCAUUGAACUCCCUUGCUUCAUGCAUGUGCUCCAACGUCACUUUUCUUGUAAGUAAAUGGUGACCAAAGAAUACUAACCGUCAUGUCGCAGAUAUGCUUUUGAGUUAAAGUGAUGCAUCACUUUGUAGUGCUUUAGAGCAUGAUUAAUGCAUGUCUCUUAGAAUCAACUUCUUAACGUAAUAUAAAAUACGGUUUGAUAUAAGAGAUGUUUCUUAGGUUUUUUAGUUAAAAGCUAAGAGAUUGUAUCUUAUAUUACGCUAAUAACUUCACCCUAAUUAAGAGUAUGAUUAAUAAGAAGUUCUUAAGUUGGAGUUCUUAUCAAAAUAUAAGAAUCCGUCUCUUAACUUAACUAGAAUAGCUAAGAACCAGCUUUUAAAUAUUUUAUUUAAGAGUCAGUUCUUAGCUUUUUUAGUUAAAAGUUAAAAAACGGUUUUUUAUUUUCCGAUAAGAACUCUACCCUAAGAAGUAAGAACCUUCAUUAAUCAUGCUCUUAGAACUGUAUUUGCGGGAGGAUCUUUUUCUUUUUCUAAAUAAAUGCAUUUAUAGCAAAAUAAAAUCAUAUAUUUGGAUUUAGCGGAAAAAAAAAAGAACACUUGAGCUUGAUCGAAUCAAUAUAAUAACAGUAUAUUUGUUUGGGCUAUGUAAUGCUCCAAAAAUCAUUUGUCAAUCAAUCCUAUAACUGUUGGGGAAAAUUUAAUAUACUCUCUUAUACUUUUAAUAGAUGACGUUUUGGAAAAAUUUACUUGCAUUAAAUUAGAUGACGUUUUAAAUUUUAAUGCAAUUUUUUUGUAACCUUACAUGUUAUAUAACUUUUAUUUCCUACAGUAUGUUAUUAAUGGAUUAAAAUUUGGUUAGGUUGAUAGUUAAUAAUGUUUUUAUUCUAAAAAAACUGUAAUAAGAAUUUUUUUUUUUUAAUUUGUGUGCGCAAGUAUAAAACGUUAAGUAAUAAAAAAACGGAGGGAGUAGCUUUAUUGAUUUUCUUUCUAUAAUUUAAUUUGACUAAAUUAAGUACCGUUACUUUAUUAAUCUAUAAAUAGGGUUUCACAAUUAAAUGAAGACCAUUCAUAUUAUCUUCAAUCUCUAAAACUGUAUGGAGAAAAUAUCAAUGAAACUUGCAUUCUUUAUCUUCAUAGCUAUUAGCUCCGUGAUGAGUAUCACAGAAACUGGAGCGAACCGGUUACUACAAGAUGAAGCUUCUCAAACUGUGUUGUUGCACCAUGAAGCUUCUUCGCAGGAGGCUAUCAACCCAAAGAAAAUUCACUGCAAGAAAGGGUGUCAUAUUAAAUGUGUUCCCAAUCCAUUUAUUGUUGAAUGUUUUUGUCAAUGUUAAUUUCAAAUCGCUUAUUAUGAUAUCUAACGUCCAAAUAAGAUUUAUUUACGAUCAGUAAGAUGAUAUUUUAUUACUAGUUUUCCAUCUGACAUUCAUUAACUUUCAACCUUGACUGAUUAUAUACUCAUUCAACAGGUGAUCUAAUCUUAAAGCAAUAUUGAAACUCUGAAAAACUUAAUGAAGAUGAUAUAUAUUUCUCAUAUCGUUCAUCACUCAGAAUGUAAUGCAGUCGAUGAUAUACUCAUUCGACAUCUGCAUUGUGAUACAUUAGAAAAACUACAUAAAAUAUUAAAAUAUAAUAUUUUUUUCUUGAUGUGUGAGUGAAAAGUUUUACUCUUUUGUGUAAAGUUUCUUUUUGAUUGCCAAACUUAAAUUGUGAGUAUCACCAACAAAUCCGUCAAGUAUUAUCGUUUGACUUGUUAUAUUAACUAAAUGUUAUGAGGAAAGCUUAAUGUUUACGACCUUACUUGAACAGGAUCUCUAACACAUGUUCUCAUCUUUAUUUUAGUUAACAAAUUAUUAAACAAUAAGAGAGGAGAGAUUCAUAACCAAAUGAAACAGAUUAACAUGAGAAAUGUCUUACUGGUAAUGAGUUGCUCAACUGAAAGAAUAAAGAAAAAUUAAAAUAUUUUUAACAUAAUUUUGAGAGAUCUCACGCAAGUGGAUCUGUUAUGAUACCAAAGAUGAGUGACAUAUAACAUAAUUCUGUUAACAUAAUCGCAAGUGGAUCUCACGCAAGUAUUCGGGUUCAAGGAGGAGUUGGUUGGGGAGAUAGUUAUGAUACCAAAGAUGGUGGAGGCAGCAGUUCAGACAUGCGUGUGGUGCGUGGUGCCACCAUCAAAGAUGGAAUUUCCACCUUAUGAUGGUACUACAAAUGCAAUUGAAUGGAGUUUCGACCUUAUGAUGACUGUUUUCAUGAUCAAAGAGUGUUCAAUGACGAUGCAAAAGUACGACAAGCUACAUUUGUACUAACUGGGAAUGCUUAUCAUUGGUUUAGCAACCUCCGUAGGUUGGUCACUCAUAGAUUAGGCUCAGAAACAUUAUUAAUCGGUUUCAUAAAAUUUCCGUAUUAUUGUAUAUUUUUUUUCUCUUUUCUCUAACAACGAUGAAAUGUGGAAUUUUGCUUCUCGAUAAUUCUGAGUUUCCGGUUUAUCUGUCAUCUUGUUCUGCCAAAGAGAGAAAAAAAAAGGAAGUGGUUUCAUAAAUUACAAAACCAUCAGGUUAUUUUCGGUUUAGUCUUGAGUUAUUAAUUUAUUUACCCAUUUUGAUGUGGGAUUUUCGGACCGCUUGCCGGAUAUUACUUUCGUUCCUUUACAAAAUUUCGUCGAUCUUGCCUGAUUUAAAUAUUAGCG